CACUAAGAAGCUAAACAAGGAACAGCGUUAGCCUUUUAAGCUAAAGAUUGGUGACUACCAACCACCCCUAGUGA
Molecule: transfer RNA, 74 nt
Filed under: Heteromormyrus pauciradiatus
Lineage: Eukaryota; Metazoa; Chordata; Actinopteri; Osteoglossiformes; Mormyridae
Description: tRNA-Lys
Rfam family: tRNA
About the family: Transfer RNA (tRNA) molecules are approximately 80 nucleotides in length.
Source: RNAcentral